Molecule: ribosomal RNA, 443 nt
Filed under: uncultured bacterium
Lineage: Bacteria
Description: partial 16S ribosomal RNA
Rfam family: Bacterial small subunit ribosomal RNA
Source: RNAcentral
CCUACGGGCGGCAGCAGUGGGGAAUAUUGGGCAAUGGAGGCAACUCUGACCCAGCAACGCCGCGUGAAUGAUGAAGGUCUUCGGAUUGUAAAGUUCUGUGAUGGGGGAUGAACACAAUGACGGUACCCCAAUAGCAAGCCACGGCUAACUACGUGCCAGCAGCCGCGGUAAUACGUAGGUGGCAAGCGUUAUCCGGAAUGACUGGGCGUAAAGGGUGCGUAGGUGGUUUAGUAAGUUGGCGGUGUAAUUCCGGGGCUCAACCUCGGCGCUACCGCCAAAACUAUUAGACUAGAGUGCAGGGGGGGUAAGUGGAAUUCCUAGUGUAGCGGUGGAAUGCGUAGAUAUUAGGAGGAACAUCAGGGGGGAAGGCGACUUACUGGACUGUAACUGACACUGAGGCACGAAAGCGUGGGGAGCAAACAGGAUUAGAUACCCCAGUAGUC